CCUACGGGAGGCUGCAGUGGGGAAUAUUGCACAAUGGGGGAAACCCUGAUGCAGCGACGCCGCGUGAGUGAGGAAGUAUUUCGGUAUGUAAAGCUCUAUCAGCAGGGACGAAAAUGACGGUACCUGACUCAGAAGCCCCGGCUAACUACGUGCCAGCAGCCGCGGUCAUACGUAGGGGGCAAGCGUUAUCCGGAUUUACUGGUUGUAAAGGGAGCGUAGACGGCUAAUCAAGUCAGAAGUGAAAACCCAGGGCUCAACCUUGGGAGUGCUUUUGAAACUGAGUAGCUAGAGUGCAGGAGAGGUAAGCGGAAUGCCUAGUGUAGCGGUGAAAUGCGUAGAUAUUAGGAGGAACACCAGUGGCGAAGGCGGCUUACUGGACUGUAACUGACGUUGAGGCUCGAAAGCGUGGGGAGCAAACAGGAUUAGAUACCCUUGUAGUC
This 440-nucleotide ribosomal RNA is filed under the name uncultured bacterium. Its description in RNAcentral is "partial 16S ribosomal RNA". It matches the Rfam family "Bacterial small subunit ribosomal RNA", at positions 338 to 795 of the family's 1533-position model. The record is from RNAcentral.